CACGUGUGCAACCAACCCCGUACCGGGAGAUAACCCGCGGAAACGUGGACUAACAUCCCAUGAGACUCUAGAGCCGCAUGGCUCUCGAUUUAAAAUUCCGGUGGUACGGGACGGGCACGCGCGACAUUAGGUAGUUGGCGGGGGUAACGGCCCACCAAGCCGACGAUGUCUAGGGGUUCUGAGAGGAAGGUCCCCCACACUGGAACUGAGACACGGUCCAGACUCCUACGGGAGGCAGCAGUGAGGAAUAUUGGUCAAUGGGCGAGAGCCUGAACCAGCCAAGUCGCGUGAGGGAAGAAUGGUCUAUGGCCUGCAAACCUCUUUUGUCAGGGAAGAAUAAGGAUGACGAGUCAUUCGAUGCCAGUACUUGACGAAUAAGCAUCGGCUAACUCCGUGCCAGCAGCCGCGGUAAUACGGGGGAUGCGAGCGUUAUCCGGAUUUAUUGGGUUUAAAGGGCGCGUAGGCGGGACGUCAAGUCAGCGGUAAAAGACUGCAGCUAAACUGUAGCACGCCGUUGAAACUGGCGCCCUGGAGACGAGACGAGGGAGGCGGAACAAGUGAAGUAGCGGUGAAAUGCAUAGAUAUCACUUGGAACCCCGAUAGCGAAGGCAGCUUCCCAGGCUCGUUCUGACGCUGAUGCGCGAGAGCGUGGGUAGCGAACAGGAUUAGAUACCCUGGUAGUCCACGCCGUAAACGAUGCUCACUGGAUCUUGGCGAUACACGGCCAGGGUUCAAGCGAAAGUAUUAAGUGAGCCACCUGGGGAGUACGUCGGCAACGAUGAAACUCAAAGGAAUUGACGGGGGCCCGCACAAGCGGAGGAACAUGUGGUUUAAUUCGAUGAUACGCGAGGAACCUUACCCGGGUUUAAAUGUAGAUUGCAUGAGGUGGAAACACUUCUUCCCUUCGGGGCUAUUUACAAGGUGCUGCAUGGUUGUCGUCAGCUCGUGCCGUGAGGUGUCGGGUUAAGUCCCAUAACGAGCGCAACCCCUAUCGCCAGUUGCCAUCGGUUCAAGCCGGGCACUCUGUCGAGACUGCCACCGUAAGGUGCGAGGAAGGCGGGGAUGACGUCAAGUCAGCACGGCCCUUACACCCGGGGCGACACACGUGUUACAAUGGCCGGUACAGAGGGCAGCCACGGGGUGACCCGGAGCGAAUCUCUAAAGCCGGUCGUAGUUCGGACUGGAGUCUGCAACCCGACUCCACGAAGUUGGAUUCGCUAGUAAUCGCGCAUCAG
Molecule: ribosomal RNA, 1235 nt
Filed under: metagenome
Description: bacterial SSU rRNA
Rfam family: Bacterial small subunit ribosomal RNA
Source: RNAcentral